RNAcentral lists this ribosomal RNA (492 nucleotides) under uncultured bacterium. RNAcentral's name for it is "bacterial SSU rRNA". It matches the Rfam family "Bacterial small subunit ribosomal RNA", at positions 29 to 509 of the family's 1533-position model. The record is from RNAcentral.
AGUGAACGCUGGCGGCAGGCCUAAUACAUGCAAGUCGAACGGCAGCACAGCAGAGCUUGCUCUGUGGGUGGCGAGUGGCGGACGGGUGAGGAAUACAUGGGAAUCUGCCCAGUCGUGGGGGAUAACGUAUGGAAACGUACGCUAAUACCGCAUGCGCCCUAAGGGGGAAAGCCGGGGACCGCAAGGCCUGGCGCGAUUGGAUGAGCCCAUGUUCGAUUAGCUAGUUGGCGGGGUAAAGGCCCACCAAGGCGACGAUCGAUAGCUGGUCUGAGAGGAUGAUCAGCCACACUGGAACUGAGACAUGGUCCAGACUCCUACGGGAGGCAGCAGUAGGGAAUAUUGGACAAUGGGGGCAACCCUGAUCCAGCCAUGCCGCGUGAGUGAAGAAGGCCCUCGGGUUGUAAAGCUCUUUUGUCCGGAAAGAAAAGCAAUCGGUUAAUACCCGGUUGUCCUGACGGUACCGGAAGAAUAAGCACCGGCUAACUUCGUGCC